This 527-nucleotide ribosomal RNA is filed under the name Penicillium sp. HR-121 HR-121. RNAcentral describes it as "eukaryotic LSU rRNA". The stretch from base 155 to 308 matches the Rfam family "5.8S ribosomal RNA". The record is from RNAcentral. Lineage: Eukaryota; Fungi; Ascomycota; Eurotiomycetes; Eurotiales; Aspergillaceae.
ACCUCCCACCCUUGUCUCUAUACACCUGUUGCUUUGGCGGGCCCACCGGGGCCCCCUGGUCGCCGGGGGACGCACGUCUCCGGGCCCGCGCCCGCCGAAGCGCUCUGUGAACCCUGAUGAAGAUGGGCUGUCUGAGUACUGUGAAAAUUGUCAAAACUUUCAACAAUGGAUCUCUUGGUUCCGGCAUCGAUGAAGAACGCAGCGAAAUGCGAUAAGUAAUGUGAAUUGCAGAAUUCCGUGAAUCAUCGAAUCUUUGAACGCACAUUGCGCCCCCUGGCAUUCCGGGGGGCAUGCCUGUCCGAGCGUCAUUUCUGCCCUCAAGCACGGCUUGUGUGUUGGGUGUGGUCCCCCCGGGGACCUGCCCGAAAGGCAGCGGCGACGUCCGUCUGGUCCUCGAGCGUAUGGGGCUCUGUCACUCGCUCGGGAAGGACCUGCGGGGGUUGGUCACCACCAUGUUUUACCACGGUUGACCUCGGAUCAGGUAGGAGUUACCCGCUGAACUUAAGCAUAUCAAUAAGCGGAGGAAC